GAUGAAGAACGUAGCGAAAUGCGAUAAGUAGUGUGAAUUGCAGAAUUCAGUGAAUCAUCGAAUCUUUGAACGCACCUUGCACCCUUUGGCAUUCCGAAGGGUAUGCUCGUUUGAGUGUCAUUGUACUCUCACACUCCCAAUUGCUUUGGAUUGGGAGCGGUGGACUUGGGUGUUGCUGCUUGACUGAGGCUCACCUGAAAUAUGUUAGUGCACCUCUUGAUUGGACAUAGUACGGCGUGAUAAGUGUCUUCGCCGGCUCCUCGCAAAGAGGGUGGCCGAUCGGGAGCUCUGUUGCUUCAAACUGUCUUCGGACAAUCUUCUGGCGACUUGACCUCAAAUCGAGUAGGACUACCCGCUGAACUUAAGCAUAUCAAUAAGCGGAGGA
Molecule: unclassified non-coding RNA, 385 nt
Filed under: soil metagenome
Description: partial contains 5.8S ribosomal RNA, internal transcribed spacer 2, and large subunit ribosomal RNA
Rfam family: 5.8S ribosomal RNA (bases 1-120)
Source: RNAcentral